This 433-nucleotide ribosomal RNA is filed under the name uncultured bacterium. RNAcentral's name for it is "partial 16S ribosomal RNA". It matches the Rfam family "Bacterial small subunit ribosomal RNA", at positions 29 to 507 of the family's 1533-position model. The record is from RNAcentral.
AACGAACGCUGGCGGCAUGCCUAACACAUGCAAGUCGAACGAGACCUUCGGGACUAGUGGCGCAUGGGUGCGUAACGCGUGGGAACCUGCCCUUAGGUUCGGAAUAACUCCCCGAAAGGGGUGCUAAUACCGGAUAAUGUCUUCGGACCAAAGAUUUAUCGCCUUUGGAUGGGCCCGCGUUGGAUUAGCUAGUUGGUAGGGUAAAAGCCUACCAAGGCGACGAUCCAUAGCUGGGUUGAGAGGAUGAUCAGCCACACUGGGACUGAGACGCGGCCCAGACUCCUACGGGAGGCAGCAGUGGGGGAUAUUGGACAAUGGGCGAAAGCCUGAUCCAGCAAUGCCGCGUGAGUGAUGAAGGCCUUAGAGUUGUAAAGCUCUUUUACCCGGGAUGAUAAUGACAGUACCGGGAGAAUAAGCUCCGGCUAACUCCGUG